AUUGAACGCUGGCGGCAGGCCUAACACAUGCAAGUCGAACGGUAGCACAGAGAGCUUGCUCUCGGGUGACGAGUGGCGGACGGGUGAGUAACGUCUGGGAAACUGCCCGAUGGAGGGGGAUAACUACUGGAAACGGUAGCUAAUACCGCAUAACGUCGCAAGACCAAAGUGGGGGACCUUCGGGCCUUACACCAUCGGAUGUGCCCAGAUGGGAUUAGCUAGUAGGUGGGGUAAUGGCUCACCUAGGCGACGAUCCCUAGCUGGUCUGAGAGGAUGACCAGCCACACUGGAACUGAGACACGGUCCAGACUCCUACGGGAGGCAGCAGUGGGGAAUAUUGCACAAUGGGCGCAAGCCUGAUGCAGCCAUGCCGCGUGUAUGAAGAAGGCCUUCGGGUUGUAAAGUACUUUCAGCGGGGAGGAAGGCGGUGAAGUCAAUAACUUCACCGAUUGACGUUACCCGCAGAAGAAGCACCGGCUAACUCCGUGCCAGCCGCCGCAGUAA
RNAcentral lists this ribosomal RNA (504 nucleotides) under uncultured bacterium. Its description in RNAcentral is "partial 16S ribosomal RNA". It matches the Rfam family "Bacterial small subunit ribosomal RNA", at positions 30 to 523 of the family's 1533-position model. The record is from RNAcentral.